This 483-nucleotide ribosomal RNA is filed under the name uncultured bacterium. Its description in RNAcentral is "bacterial SSU rRNA". It matches the Rfam family "Bacterial small subunit ribosomal RNA", at positions 28 to 507 of the family's 1533-position model. The record is from RNAcentral.
GAUGAACGCUGGCGGCGUGCAUAACACAUUCAAGUCGAACGGUGAUGAGGACUUCGGUCCUCUGAUCAGUGGCGGACGGGUGAGUAACGCGUGAGCAACCUGCCUCAUACCCCGGGAUAACAGUUGGAAACGGCUGCUAAUACCGCAUAAGCGCACAGUGCUGCAUGGCACGGUGUGAAAAGAUUUAUCGGCAUACGAUGGACCCGCGUCUGAUUAGCUAGUUGGUGAGGUAACGGCCCACCAAGGCGACGAUCAGUAGCCGGCCUGAGAGGGUGAACGGCCACAUUGGGACUGAGACACGGCCCAAAACUCCUACGGGAGGCAGCAGUGGGGAAUAUUGGGCAAUGGGCGUAAGCCUGAACCAGCCAAGUAGCGUGAAGGAUGACUGCCCUACGGGUUGUAAACUUCUUCUAUACGGGAAUAACAUCACCUACGUGUAGGUGCCUGCAUGUACCGUAUGAAUAAGCAUCGGCUAACUCCGUG